AUACGUAGGUGGCAAGCGUUGUCCGGAAUUAUUGGGCGUAAAGCGCGCGCAGGUGGUUCCUUAAGUCUGAUGUGAAAGCCCCCGGCUCAACCGGGGAGGGUCAUUGGAAACUGGGGAACUUGAGUGCAGAAGAGGAUAGUGGAAUUCCAAGUGUAGCGGUGAAAUGCGUAGAGAUUUGGAGGAACACCAGUGGCGAAGGCGACUGUCUGGUCUGUAACUGACCCUGAGGCGCGAAAGCGUGGGGAGCAAAAAGGAUUAGAUACCCUGGUAGUCCACGCCGUAAACGAUGAGUGCUAAGUGUUGGGGGGUUUCCGCCCCUCAGUGCUGCAGCUAACGCAUUAAGCACUCCGCCUGGGGAGUACGGUCGCAAGACUGAAACUCAAAUGAAUUGACGGGG
This 397-nucleotide ribosomal RNA is filed under the name uncultured bacterium. Its description in RNAcentral is "partial 16S ribosomal RNA". It matches the Rfam family "Bacterial small subunit ribosomal RNA", at positions 523 to 918 of the family's 1533-position model. The record is from RNAcentral.